UUCAGUCGCACGCAGCGCCUUGCACUCGCGUGCAAUUGAGGCUGAAAUCAUGGUCCAGAGCAGAAUCGCCGAAAAGUGCGCGAGUUGUACGAUACCCCAAGGCAUGCCGCAACCGUGGAGCAACUGUGUUGAUCAGGACCUCGAUCCACGACCUACGCGACGCCAGAGGCGCGUCGCUUGGUAGAGGUAACAUAGGUUUGAAAUGACUUCAUCGAUGUACGAGCGCUGCAAGGGGCAGCGCGAUUCCUGCUUUGCCACCAUCAGCCGCGUAUGCGGCUUGGAUUGGACCCCGAACAAUUCGAGCAAGUUGUGGUGGGCAGCGAUGUGCCGCUGCAGUGGCGGGGCCGCCUGGCUGCCGCGCACGCUGGUGGAAGGACGUGGCCAAAAGGCGGCUGGUCCAUGCAGCGCCCAGACACACGCACUGGGAUAUCAGCAUGGAGAUCUGUUUGAUACGCCAUAUCGGCGGCUUGUCUCAGCAAGCCGAAGACACGUGGGAGAAACUCAAGCAGGGCAAGUUGAAGCACUAGCGACGCAAUGGCCGACGGCAGCUACGACGAGAUGCUGAAAAUGCUGUCUACCGUCAAGUUUUAGGGCUU
Molecule: small RNA, 596 nt
Filed under: Xanthomonas campestris pv. campestris
Lineage: Bacteria; Pseudomonadati; Pseudomonadota; Gammaproteobacteria; Lysobacterales; Lysobacteraceae
Description: ncRNA of unknown function
Source: RNAcentral